Molecule: ribosomal RNA, 492 nt
Filed under: uncultured bacterium
Lineage: Bacteria
Description: partial 16S ribosomal RNA
Rfam family: Bacterial small subunit ribosomal RNA
Source: RNAcentral
AGUGAACGCUGGCGGUAGGCCUAACACAUGCAAGUCGAACGGCAGCACAGUAAGAGCUUGCUCUUACGGGUGGCGAGUGGCGGACGGGUGAGGAAUACAUCGGAAUCUACUUUUUCGUGGGGGAUAACGUAGGGAAACUUACGCUAAUACCGCAUACGACCUACGGGUGAAAGCAGGGGAUCUUCGGACCUUGCGCGAUUGAAUGAGCCGAUGUCGGAUUAGCUAGUUGGCGGGGUAAAGGCCCACCAAGGCGACGAUCCGUAGCUGGUCUGGGAGGAUGAUCAGCCACGCUGGAACUGAGACACGGUCCAGACUCCUACGGGAGGCAGCAGUGGGGAAUAUUGGACAAUGGGCGCAAGCCUGAUCCAGCCAUACCGCGUGGGUGAAGAAGGCCUUCGGGUUGUAAAGCCCUUUUGUUGGGAAAGAAAAGCAGCAGGUUAAUACCCCGCUGUUCUGACGGUACCCAAAGAAUAAGCACCGGCUAACUUCGUG